CCCUUUUUCCAUUUUUUUUUCUUCUUCUUCCUCCUCCCAGUCCGGUCGCCCACAACCUGCGCCCAGGCUGGUCCGGAUCUACCCCACACUCCUCCAAAACUCGGAUCUCCUCUCUCUUUUUCCUGAAUCAGUGGUAUUUCCUCUCUUUUUUUUUAAUUUUUUUUUCUUCUUCUUCUUCUUCCUGUUAACCCUAAACUUGCAUUAUUAUUAUUAUUAUUUUUUUUUGCAGAUCUCUUGUACUUCUUGCACCAUAAUCUCAUC
RNAcentral lists this long non-coding RNA (261 nucleotides) under Ananas comosus (pineapple). Its description in RNAcentral is "long non-coding RNA (ACOM_LNC037249)". The record is from RNAcentral. Lineage: Eukaryota; Viridiplantae; Streptophyta; Magnoliopsida; Poales; Bromeliaceae.